GGUUUGUGGCUCAGUGGUAGAGCGCUUGCCUCAUAUGUGUGAGGCAUUGAGUUCGAGUCUCAGAACCG
Molecule: transfer RNA, 68 nt
Filed under: Marmota marmota marmota (Alpine marmot)
Lineage: Eukaryota; Metazoa; Chordata; Mammalia; Rodentia; Sciuridae
Also listed under: 1 other name
Rfam family: tRNA
About the family: Transfer RNA (tRNA) molecules are approximately 80 nucleotides in length. Their secondary structure includes four short double-helical elements and three loops (D, anti-codon, and T loops). Further hydrogen bonds mediate the characteristic L-shaped molecular structure. tRNAs have two regions of fundamental functional importance: the anti-codon, which is responsible for specific mRNA codon recognition, and the 3' end, to which the tRNAs corresponding amino acid is attached (by aminoacyl-tRNA synthetases). tRNAs cope with the degeneracy of the genetic code in two manners: having more than one tRNA (with a specific anti-codon) for a particular amino acid; and 'wobble' base-pairing, i.e. permitting non-standard base-pairing at the 3rd anti-codon position.
Source: Rfam by way of RNAcentral